GUGCUCACUUCAGCAGCACAUAUACUAAAAUUGGAACAACACCAAGAAGAUUAACCUGGCCCCUGCAGAAGGAUGACAUGCAAAUUCAUGAAGCAUUACAUGUUAAA
Zalophus californianus (California sea lion) is the source of this 107-nucleotide small nuclear RNA. NCBI's taxonomy places the organism in Eukaryota, Metazoa, Chordata, Mammalia, Carnivora, Otariidae. The record is from Ensembl.